This is a long non-coding RNA of Priapulus caudatus, 499 nucleotides long. RefSeq lists it as uncharacterized. Lineage: Eukaryota; Metazoa; Priapulida; Priapulimorpha; Priapulimorphida; Priapulidae. The transcript is spliced from 2 exons. The record is from RefSeq and is a predicted model, not a curated record.
GCUAGCACAAGUGUCUGCACGAACACGGAAUAGACAGCAUAGACGCAGACGUGUUUAAGCGAGCACCAGAUACAAGUGGAAUGGUUGCCUGUUCUUCCCUUCCGGAACCCAACUGGGACUUAUUUAAACCAAGACCCCCUCCCCCAGACGGCGGCGGAGGCGGCGGCGGAGGCGGAGGAGGCGGAGGAGGAGGAGGAGGCGGACAACCCCCGCCACCGCCACCGCCUUGAAAUAAUCGACGACUUAACGUAUAACGGUUCCGGUAUAAAUAAAAAUAAAAAUUGCAAAGAUAUUUCGCAUUGAAACCGAACGUAUGGCGAACAUUAUUGGCGAAGAGUCUACAUAUAUUAUUGUUAUGACUUCAAACUUCAAGAUUUAAAACGAUGUUAACAUUACGAAAGCAGGUGUCGUGUUUAGUUGUUUUGAAUUCGCGCAUGUAUAUGACAACUGUAAUCGGAAGUAUUCGCAAAUUUAAUAAAUUUCAAUAAAUUUAUGACAA